RNAcentral lists this long non-coding RNA (1536 nucleotides) under Homo sapiens (human). RNAcentral's name for it is "HSALNT0385579". Lineage: Eukaryota; Metazoa; Chordata; Mammalia; Primates; Hominidae. The record is from RNAcentral.
CCGAAAUUAGGAGUGUCUGGUCCUCACUCACGCGGCUCUCUGCUGCUCAGGUCGAUUUUCUCUCCCACCCUCACCCAGGCUCUUUCCACAGCAUCACCCCUGCCCCAGCCCCUGGAGCCACCUGCUUUCCUAAGUGGUUUUGGAAACUGGGCUGAGGUCCCAAAGGGUGUCCACUGUGCUGUUGCUCUCCGCUCUGUCCAAGCAAAGCACAAGCUCAGCCGACUUUGAAAGACACCCACCGCCUGGCCUGGGAAUGCACAAGUUCAGAGCUUUGCAAGAAGUGAUCAUGGGCUAUGGCUUUGUGAAAAUGUCACCCUCACCAGUGCCUUUUUCGCGGACGUGGACGUGGAGGAAUGAGGGAGGGUAAUCACUGGGCUACCAAGGUACUGCUAAGAGCAGAAGAGAAAAUCCCAGUUUUCAGCCAUGUGUCUGGUUUGACAUUUCACCAACCCAUUUAAGUGUGCAGGCCCCCAAAUAUCUACCUAAAGAUUAUGAUAGUUUAGGCAUUUUACACUUGAAAUUAUUGACCUCAUAUCCACUGAAGCCUGACUGGCCAGUGUCUCAAAGACACAGAUGAUGACCUGAUCCCUCAGGAACAGCUGGUGCUCCAGCUUUGUGGAGGUGAAUUUCAAGGUAUGGAUUACUUGGGGGGUCGUUGAAACCUGUCAGGCUCAGGAACAGAUGGUGCUCCAGCUUUGUGGAGAUGAAUUUCAAGGAAUAAAUCCAACUUGAUCAUAACAUCCAACUGUGUUGCCCAGGCUAGUCUCAAACUCCUGGAUUCAAGAGCCCCUCUCCUCUCAGCCUACGAAAGUGCUGGGAUUAAAGUCCUGAACUGACAGCCACAAGUGGCACCUGAACAGGGACUUGAACAAAGAAGGUCUGCUGGAGCAGAAAAAGUGAAACUGACCAGAUGAAUGAGAAACCCUGGGAUGAGUCUGCCUGCAGAGGAUAUAAGGAGAUGGAUAAACCGUGUGAGUGCCCUCAAGUUGUGUGCGACCAUGGAAUGGGAGACUGGAGGGAUACAUGGAUCCCAACUACAGGCCCAGCUCCUCCAGUAUGAGCCAUGAGCCAGUUGAAUCUGAAUGUGAAGAUGGAAUGAAGACCGACGAGAGUCACACUGACGUCAACCCUCAUAACAUGGGGUCAGAUCAAGAAAACCACACCAGAAGCUGAGAAACUGGUGUAGUGCCAGGGUCAGGCAAAAACCCCUGACUCCAUGUUUAUGGCCAUGCUAGCUGUAAUAUCCUGUGCAGUAUGAUUUUUCUGUGCAGAAGCAAAAACAUAUUGGGCAUAUUUUCCUAACCCACCGGUAGUGUGAUCAUACUCUGAAGCAGCACUCCUCCUGAGAUAUAUCAUGAUCAAGGAGCAUCAGUACCAGGACCUCUAACUCCCCCUGACACAGAGCAAUUAGACUCUCAUAACAAUGGUAUCAAUUAUACCACUCCAUUGGAGGGACUUCCUUUAUGUGUCACCCAGGAUACAUUGCUCAACUGCAGUUGCCUUGCAGUUUGAUCCCAAGCAUGGUUGAGUUACCAU